This 486-nucleotide ribosomal RNA is filed under the name uncultured bacterium. RNAcentral's name for it is "partial 16S ribosomal RNA". It matches the Rfam family "Bacterial small subunit ribosomal RNA", at positions 28 to 507 of the family's 1533-position model. The record is from RNAcentral.
GUUGAACGCUGGCGGCAUGCCUUACACAUGCAAGUCGAACGGCAGCACGGGUGCUUGCCCCUGGUGGCGAGUGGCGAACGGGUGAGUAAUACAUCGGAACAUGUCCUGUAGUGGGGGAUAGCCCGGCGAAAGCCGGAUUAAUACCGCAUACGAUCUACGGAUGAAAGCGGGGGACCUUCGGGCCUCGCGCUAUAGGGUUGGCCGAUGGCUGAUUAGCUAGUUGGUGGGGUAAAGGCCUACCAAGGCGACGAUCAGUAGCUGGUCUGAGAGGACGACCAGCCACACUGGGACUGAGACACGGCCCAGACUCCUACGGGAGGCAGCAGUGGGGAAUUUUGGACAAUGGGCGAAAGCCUGAUCCAGCAAUGCCGCGUGUGUGAAGAAGGCCUUCGGGUUGUAAAGCACUUUUGUCCGGAAAGAAAUCCUUGGCCCUAAUACGGUCGGGGGAUGACGGUACCGGAAGAAUAAGCACCGGCUAACUACGUG